Thalassophryne amazonica is the source of this 123-nucleotide long non-coding RNA. RefSeq lists it as uncharacterized. The record is from RefSeq and is a predicted model, not a curated record. Lineage: Eukaryota; Metazoa; Chordata; Actinopteri; Batrachoidiformes; Batrachoididae. The transcript is spliced from 3 exons.
UGAAAAACAGGAAUCAGUGGUUGUUGUAUCUAUACACUGUCUACUGUUUGCUACUGCAGGCUAACAACUUUGAGUACCCUCAUUUUAUGUGAAAUAGAGGAUCAUACAUGUGGUUUAUCACAA